Molecule: ribosomal RNA, 740 nt
Filed under: Rothia mucilaginosa
Lineage: Bacteria; Bacillati; Actinomycetota; Actinomycetes; Micrococcales; Micrococcaceae
Description: bacterial SSU rRNA
Rfam family: Bacterial small subunit ribosomal RNA
Source: RNAcentral
GACGAACGCGGCGGCCUGCUUAACACAUGCAAGUCGAACGAUGAAGCCUAGCUUGCUAGGUGGAUUAGUGGCGAACGGGUGAGUAAUACGUGAGUAACCUACCUUUAACUCUGGGAUAAGCCUGGGAAACUGGGUCUAAUACCGGAUACGACCAAUCUCCGCAUGGGGUGUUGGUGGAAAGCGUUAUGUAGUGGUUAUAGAUGGGCUCACGGCCUAUCAGCUUGUUGGUGAGGUAACGGCUCACCAAGGCGACGACGGGUAGCCGGCCUGAGAGGGUGACCGGCCACACUGGGACUGAGACACGGCCCAGACUCCUACGGGAGGCAGCAGUGGGGAAUAUUGCACAAUGGGCGCAAGCCUGAUGCAGCGACGCCGCGUGAGGGAUGACGGCCUUCGGGUUGUAAACCUCUGUUAGCAGGGAAGAAGAGAGAUUGACGGUACCUGCAGAGAAAGCGCCGGCUAACUACGUGCCAGCAGCCGCGGUAAUACGUAGGGCGCGAGCGUUGUCCGGAAUUAUUGGGCGUAAAGAGCUUGUAGGCGGUUUGUCGCGUCUGCUGUGAAAGACCGGAGCUUAACUCCGUGUAUUGCAGUGGGUACGGGCAGACUAGAGUGCAGUAGGGGAGACUGGAAUUCCUGGUGUAGCGGUGGAAUGCGCAGAUAUCAGGAGGAACACCGAUGGCGAAGGCAGGUCUCUGGGCUGUAACUGACGCUGAGAAGCGAAAGCAUGGGGAGCGAACAGG